This 395-nucleotide ribosomal RNA is filed under the name uncultured bacterium. RNAcentral's name for it is "partial 16S ribosomal RNA". It matches the Rfam family "Bacterial small subunit ribosomal RNA", at positions 523 to 918 of the family's 1533-position model. The record is from RNAcentral.
AUACGUAGGGUGCAAGCGUUAAUCGGAAUUACUGGGCGUAAAGCGUGCGCAGGCGGUUUUGUAAGACAGUGGUGAAAUCCCCGGGCUCCAACUGGGAACUGCCAUUGUGACUGCAAGGCUGGAGUGCGGCAGAGGGGGAUGGAAUUUCGCGUGUAGCAGUGAAAUGCGUAGAUAUGCGGAGGAACACCGAUGGCGAAGGCAAUCCCCUGGGCCUGCACUGACGCUCAUGCACGAAAGCGGGGGGAGCAAACAGGAUUAGAUACCCUGGUAGUCCACGCCCUAAACGAUGUCAACUGGUUGUUGGGGAUUUAUUUUCUCUGUAACGAAGCUAACGCGUGAAGUUGACCGCCUGGGGAGUACGGCCGCAAGGUUAAAACUCAAAUGAAUUGACGGGG